ACCUUUCCUUUUUCCUCUUAAUUGUGGUGCGAUGUCUGGCUGACUACGUUUGUGCUACAUCACGUCUUUGUUCUGUGUUUCGAAAGAAACAAACCUCCGUAAUCCUAAAACUGACUUUGGUACAUCUGCAAACAGAAUCUAUGUUCAAUAGCUGUGCCUCAAAUGCUCCAUUGCUGAUUGAUUGAAUCCUGUGCAGAACUUGAGAGAUUGCGACCAUUGGGAUAUUUCACCUUUCUGUGGACAUUCGAAAGAAGGAAAGGCUGACUGGCUGUCAUAGUUUCAUUGCGUGCGGCGCCUCGUUUAUCAUUACUUUUUUUUACCUUGUCGUGGGUGUGUAGGUUUUUCCUGCUCCCAAUGCUCCUGCACUCUGUGCGUGCUGAAUGCGGAUCUGGUAACCCGUUUCGAGCCUGCCUCCAAGCCUCACCUGCCUUGCUUUGAUUCGCCGUUCUUUGUGACGACUGAAGGACACAAUUUACCAUGUGGCGCUGAGGCUCGAGGACCUGAAUGCUGCACCGGAAACAGAAACAUUACCCGAGAUGGUUUAUACGUUUAAGCGGCCAUGCUUGAUUUCAUGAAUGGGCUUUGUGCUAGACUCAGCAAAGCGAGAGAGGGAGAGCAAGAGACUUCUCUCUGGAGAUGGCAUCAAUUAUGUUCAGGAACAACAAAGCUUUCCACCGACAUCCUGCUCCUACUGCAGCUAGAAGACACCACAGUACCUAUGUUCUUUCUUGGUGAAAGCCAAUUGUGGUACUCAUGACUUGGGUGGUUCAAGGUGGCAGUUGUGCAUAUGAUUGGCAAGCACACGGUGUUGGAGUGACCCGUCACGUACGCAGGUGCAGAAUCACAUCGCCUGGAAUGCGAGGUCUCAUAACUAGAAUCUUCUGGCUACGACUUCUUGAGAAUGUGAGUACGUGUGCUUUCAGAUACUUUCUACUGGUGCCAUCUUUCGGGAAUAUAUAUCUUGUCAUUUUACCGCAGUGAAUGUGAUGCACACGCUACAGAAUUAUUACAGGUCUUGUUUUGAUAGCAUGGUUGUGUCGAGUCUACUUGGUUGUGAGUAAUAUUUAUAUUAUUAUCAAUAUUAAUCAUAAUACCUGUGACCCAUGAUUUAAAUCCUCAUUAGUUGAAAUUUCAAAGUUUUGCAAAAUUGUAGGUUGUGUGUAAUAGUUUUUACAGUAAAUGUGACGUUUAUUUUACUGUGAACAAGACAGAGCUCCUGCUACUCAUCCCAGGGCCAUUUAACCAUCAGAUUCUUUUUCUAAUGUUAGAUUGUUUUCUUGUUA
This is a non-coding RNA of Physcomitrium patens, 1283 nucleotides long. The record is from RefSeq and is a predicted model, not a curated record. NCBI's taxonomy places the organism in Eukaryota, Viridiplantae, Streptophyta, Bryopsida, Funariales, Funariaceae.